This 1693-nucleotide long non-coding RNA is filed under the name Triticum aestivum (bread wheat). RNAcentral's name for it is "long non-coding RNA (TAES_LNC026841)". The record is from RNAcentral. Lineage: Eukaryota; Viridiplantae; Streptophyta; Magnoliopsida; Poales; Poaceae.
UGGUUCUGAACAACAUUAAUUGCAAAAUGAACACCUUAAAGAGUUCUGCACUACAAUCUUAACAGAGCACUCGCAAAUCUUAAAAACCAACGAUUCAUCAUCUGCUGGUUCAGUUACCACCUUCAACAUGUGGCAUAUCAAUCCUUACAUGCAAAUAUAGUAUAGCUAAGCACAGAGUGAUCACAAGCACUUCCACGCCAGCUGACUAGGAUGUAAUCUAGCUUGCCAUGUCUUGCUCAAAAUACAGGUUAAGCUCAAUGUGGCAAACACUGGGCUUAGAAUCACUACCACACCACAAAAUGAGAUGGUAGCUAACAUUCCCCUCCAAUGUCUAAUGUACACAACGUGUUUCAUAAUCAAUCUCGCAGACACCGGAUCUAAAAUACUACAUCCGUAUAACUCAUACCUCAGAAAGAGCACUUCAAGCAUGAAAUCUGGCAGCUCAACCCUGUCCCCCUCAUCAAAAUCACCUCAUACACUAUGGACCUCGUACAUUGGCACCGGCAGCAUCAUCUACAAAAUGUAUCAACCAUUCACUUGGUUAUCAGUUGAACAAUGACAUGUCUUUUCAAAUUGUCUUUGCAUAAAAUAAUUUUGUCUACUGAAGCUUGUAGCCGAGCACUUCAUAGCUCAUAAUCAUAUUCAUAAGUUCGUAGUCCAGGCUAUACGAGCUAUACAUCAGUGCCAGUUGUAAAACCCCGGAUCGCUAGUGUAAACUUUGAUUUGUACAAAAGACAGUAAGACAUUUCUUGGUCAAUCACCACAAACCGCAAGUCAAAGACGUGGUGCCACCUGAUCUGUCAACUAUCAAACAUCCGACCUUCCUUGUAAUGAUCAGCCGCGACACACGAAUCCACUGUCAACAGCCCGUUUGGUCCGAACUCCCUCACGAAGUCUUCUCCUGAUAGGACCACAAGAUUAUUAUUUUUUAGAUCAGAGCGCCACUAGGACCACAAGAUAUAGACCUAUAUGCUCGAACCACUUCUUGCGCGUGUCGAUGGUAGACACACAAGUUAACAAUUGCAAACGCUGUACUAACAACACUCAAACUUAACUUACUUGCUAAGUUCUCUGGAAGUGUAUGACAACAUCCUGUCAUAGAAAGUAGCAUGUCUCUUGUGUUUGGCUCUUCAUCCUUCAAACCAGCUUUUCCUCAGAACUUAUCACCCAUCUCACCCUUCACGAUGUCCUGACCAUGCCUAUCUGCAACCUUAGGUUACUCCUCAUCCAGCCUGACACCACGCACAAUCCCCUACCCACUUCAUCCUCAUGCUCAUGGAUGUCGGCAAAGAACUAUGUUAACUGAAUGCAAAGAUAACUCAAUUUUUAGAACAAAGCGAAAUGACAGAUGAUAACCUGAUUGUCUAGCAACAUCAUUGCGGUCAUAUUGCAUCAAGGCUUCAGGCACAUCGCAAGGUGUCCCAUCCCCUGCAAAUUCAAAAUGUUGCAGCAAAAUUUCAAUGAUCUCACAACACUCGGUCAGUCCAUCUGAAUGAUCUCACAACCUGUCACUGCAUUGUUGACACAACAACUCUUUUUCUGCCCCCUCGUACCCCUCCCAGAGCCAGCAUCAGCACCUGAUUUGCACAUAAUAUAUUUAAUAUCCCAGAGACGUAAGCGGGCCUCCAACACAUGGAAAUGACCUGGGUACAUUAUUAGUGCCAAUACCUCCACUAGUAUGAUUACUACCACG